AAUUUUUUACUUGGAAUAAUAAUGGGUAAUUAAUGAAAAGGACUGAAUCUGUGUAAAAGCUUUCAGUAAAAUCUUUUUCAGAAUAACUCUUCAAAAAUAGGAUUCUAGAAUUCAAUUAUCCCUUUCUGUAACCUUAAGAAUUUACUUAGUUGAUUUGAGCCUUCAUACAAUGCUAAAUUCUACAUAACCAAAAAUUCCAGAAAUGUAGAUCAAAGCAAUAAUUAAUUCUCAACCUUUUAAGAUCAUCAUUUUUCAAAGGGGCUUCCUGCCCAGUUUUAACUGUCUGGUGCUAAAAAUGAUAAGCAAACACUUCAGUCAAUAGACCGCUUAUAUUCCUUACUCUGUUCUCAGAGUGACUGAGUGCCUUGAUUCCAGCAGUGAUUGUCCCAGUCUGCUUUUCUCCUUAGGUUUCCAUUGUGACUGUUAACUGCAGAAACCCAGCCCAGAACCGAGGAUCCCAGGAUCUGCACGUUGCAAGUGAUACCAAAGAGGUUUGUCAUAGCUUUUCUUCCAAGAAGGAUGCUUAUUCAGGCAAGCUGUUGUUGCCCAGACUUCAGAGGAAUGUUGGACAGAAAAUUCUCAGCUCACAUUUGGAGUUACCAGAACAGUUUCCACGUGACUGCAAAAAACUUGACUUGGAAAGGAGUAAAACUCAGAGGAGGCCUUGGAUGAUGGUAAGUCUAGCAAGAAAGGACAGUCACCCUGGGUCAAGGCCAAAGGAGGGGCCAGCUGCAUCUAAGCAGAAUAGAAGUGAAGCCAUCCAAGAACAGACUGCUUAAAACUUUAAACCUGUGCCAAGUUUAUUGAGGAAUGUGAGACUGUGUACUUGCAAAUUACCUCAACACUAUAUCAUCUGUAUUCUGAAAAUUUCUCACACUGCAAUAGAGACUUAGAGCCUUUUCAAAUGUUUUUUAGUCUGUGAUUCUGCGAUCCUAAGUGAGUUGUGUAAGCUAUGCACUCUGAAGGUGCUGUGUUCCUGCGGACAUCACCAGGAUUGAGUAUUGCUGAGAAGAAGAGGGAAAACGAAAAAAAUCAGUGAUCUUUCAUGUGUGGUCUUGGGGGGAACUAUUUUGCAUUGUGAUUACCCAGAAACUUGUCCAAAGCAAGUGCUCAAAGGAACCCAAUGAGAAGCGACUUAUUCAUGCCUUAAAUUUGAGUGCCCCAUCUGGAAACUGUCUGUCUUUUAGUCACAUUUGCAUGCUGGAAAAACUACAUUUAAAAAAAAUCACAGCAGAUAAUAAUUAUAAACCUCUAAAAUUUUUUAUUUGUUUAUUUAUUUUUACUGUGCUGGAUCUGCCUUGCUGCUCCGGCUUAUUUUUCUAGUUGUGGCAGGUGGGGGCCACUCUCUAGUUGUCGUGCGUGGGCUUCUCACUGUGGUGGCCUGUUUUGCAGAGCACAGGCUCUAGGGGCUCAGUAGCUGUGACACAUGGGCUCAGUAAUUGUGCCUCCUGGGCUCUAGAACACAGGCUCUCAAUAGUUGUGGUACGCAGGGUUAGCUGCUGCUCGGCAUGUGGGAUCUUUCCUGAUCAGGGAUCGAACAUACAUCUCCUGCACUGGCAGGUGGAUUAUUUAUCACUGAGCCACCAGGGAAGGCCAUUAAUUAUAAAUCUUCAACACAAUUAGAGCAUAAGCUUGCUUUGUCUAUAUUCUAGCCAACUACAUUUGUGACAAAAAAAUAACAGAAAGCUAAGAAAAAUAUUAAUGAUUGAUGACAAUUUUUUCACAAAAAGGAAAAUAAAGUGUUACUAAUAAAUAUUAUUUGAGUUCCAGGAGCACUCUGUCAUCUCAUACUAACUGUUCUUUAAGUUGGGUACAGAUAAAAUUUCUUUCACAAGCACCAGAUUAUGAGCUCAUACAGUUUUUCCCUUAAUACUGCUGCUACUGCUGCUAAGUCACUUCAGUCAUGUCCGACUCUGUGUGACCCCAUAGACGGCAGCCCACCAGGCUCCCCCAUCCCUGGGAUUCUCCAGACAAGGACACUGGAGUGGGUUGCCAUUUCCUUCUCCAAUGCAUGAAAGUGAAAAGUGAAAGGGAAGUCACUCAGUCGUGUCCAACUCUUAGCGACCCCAUGGACUGCAGCCUACCAGGCUCUUCCAUCCAAGGGUUUUUCCAGGCAAGAGUACUGGAGUGGGGUGCCAUUGCCUUCUCCAUCCCUUAAUACUAAAAAAUAAUAAAAUAUGAAAAAAAAGUUCCCAAAUAGGUACUAUUAUGUAUAAAAUAAGCUACAAAGAUAUAUUGUACAAUACAGGAAACAGAACCAAUGUUUUAUAACAAUAUAGGAUUUAUUUUAAAUCACUGCUAUUAUUAUCUUGAUUGACACUCUUAUCAUCCUGUCUUUGAUCCAUGGAAAUAAACCUCUUCAAGCUGAUUUUCAUGUUUUUUUGAUAGUUUUGCUUCUUUGUCUUUUGUCAUCCAUAAGAUCACUCCUGCUUUAGAUGCCAGUCAUGAGUCCAGAUGUCUGGUGUUUCUGACUAAGCCUUAUAUCAGGAGCUCCCACAAUCCCCUCCUCAGUUUAGACAGUUUGCUAGAAUAGCUCACAGAACUCAGGAAAACAACCUACUCACUAUUUCUGAUUUAUCAUGAAGGAUACAAGUCAGGGGAGGUGUACAGGGCAAGGUAUUGGGGCUGGUUGGCCACACAAAGCUUUCAUGCUCUCUCCACACAGGCCACCCUCCCAGAAAGACGCUCUCCCAACCCUGUUGUCUUUGGGAAAUUCCAUUACUUAAGAUUAAUUAAACCAUUGACCAUUGGUGAUUAAAUCUAUCUCCAUUCCAUCUCCCCUUCCCCACAGAUUGCAGGUGGGAAUAAAAGUUUAAACUUCUAAUCAUGCCUUUUUGUAUGCUAAUGAAAGAACAGUCCUCUCAUUAGGAUACAAAAGGACACUCCUCUUUCUAGAGAUUCCAAGGGUCUUAAAUGCUCUGGUAUAAGGAAUCUGUGUCAAAGACUGAUUGACUAUUAGGACAAAAGAUGCUUUGAGCACCCUAUCGUUUAGGAAAUUACAAGGGUUUUAGGAGCUCUAUGUCAGGAAUUGGAGUAGAGACUAAAUUUAUACUUCUUAUUAGGUCACAAUAUCAUCAUCUCAAUUUUGGAAAAAAUAUAUACAGAAAAAUAGCUAUAUGGUAGUAAACCAAAAUAUUAACAUUGUGGUGAUCUUUGUUUUCGAUUUGUGCUGUUAUUCCUUUUUAAGGGGCUUCCAAGAACCUGACUGCCAAUGAAGGGGACUUAGGAGAGUUUGAUCCCUGGGUCCGGAGGAUCUCCUGGCAUAGGAAAUGGCAACCUGCUCCAGUAUCCUUGUCUGGGAAAUCCCAUGGACAGAGGAGCCUGGCAAGCUACAGUCUACGGGGCCACAAAGAGUUGGACAUGACUGAGUGCACACACACACACACACACAUUUCAUUUUAAUUUACAAUUUGUACUUUAUAAUUUUAUAAUAAAAAUAAAGGACAUGAGUGAAUUGUAGCUAAUUCAAAGCUAGAAGAUUGGUGUGAAGAAUUAUCUACAGAUCUUCCUCUACUAUAUGCCUGGGCUUAAGUCCUAAUAAAUCCAUCAUAAGUUGAAAAUGGUAUAUGUCGAAAUGCAUUCAAUACACCACUGAACAUCAUAGCUGAGCCUAGCCUACAUUCAAUGUACUCAGAACACUUGCAUUAGCCUACAGUUGGGCAAAAUCAUCUAACACAAAGCCUAUUUUAUAAUAAACCGUUGAAUGUCUCAUGUAAUUUAUUGACUACUGCACUGAAAGUGAAUAACAGCAUGUUCAUAUGGCUACAGAAAACUUGAAAAUGUGUCUGUAUUUACCCUCCUGGUGGGGUGGCUGACUUGGAGCUGCUGCCACACCCAGCAUCACCAGAGAGAAAAGCAAUGCAUAUGGCUAGCUUUAGAAAAGAUCACAAUUCACAACUCAAAUUACAGUUUCUACUGAAUCCAUAUCACUUUUGCCUAAUCAUAAAGGCAAGAAAUUGAAAGUCAGAACCAGU
Molecule: long non-coding RNA, 3974 nt
Organism: Bos grunniens (domestic yak)
Lineage: Eukaryota; Metazoa; Chordata; Mammalia; Artiodactyla; Bovidae
Source: Ensembl